AGUGAACGCUGGCGGUAGGCCUAACACAUGCAAGUCGAACGGCAGCACAGUAAGAGCUUGCUCUUACGGGUGGCGAGUGGCGGGCGGGUGAGGAAUACAUCGGAAUCUACUUUUUCGUGGGGGAUAACGUAGGGAAACUUACGCUAAUACCGCAUACGACCUACGGGUGAAAGCAGGGGAUCUUCGGACCUUGCGCGAUUGAAUGAGCCGAUGUCGGAUUAGCUAGUUGGCGGGGUAAAGGCCCACCAAGGCGACGAUCCGUAGCUGGUCUGAGAGGAUGAUCAGCCACACUGGAACUGAGACACUGUCCAGACUCCUACGGGAGGCAGCAGUGGGGAAUAUUGGACAAUGGGCGCAAGCCUGAUCCAGCCAUACCGCGUGGGUGAAGAAGGCCUUCGGGUUGUAAAGCCCUUUUGUUGGGAAAGAAAAGCAGCAGGUUAAUACCCCGCUGUUCUGACGGUACCCAAAGAAUAAGCACCGGCUAACUUCGUG
This 492-nucleotide ribosomal RNA is filed under the name uncultured bacterium. Its description in RNAcentral is "partial 16S ribosomal RNA". It matches the Rfam family "Bacterial small subunit ribosomal RNA", at positions 29 to 507 of the family's 1533-position model. The record is from RNAcentral.